ACGAGCGAAAGCUUAAACCUCAAACAAUGUGGCGGUGCCUUACUCCUCAUCAGGGGAUCCUGUGGCUUAAUUCGAUAAUCCACGAGAAUCUUAGCUACCCUCGUACUUCAGCUUGUGUAUGGCCGUUUAUGCUUGCUCGAAAAAGAAAAAAAAGGAAGCAAUAGAACUAACUACUCAAAAAUUCAGGUGACAUACAGCCAAUGAGAAGCAGACCCAUGGGAUACAAAUAAACAUACUAUACAAACUUAAAGUUUCAAACUUUAACGAAGGAGGACUUGAAAGUAAGACUUUCAACUUUACACAAAAUAAGUCUGAAUAAGAACUAAAGCGCGCACAAAUCGCCCGUCACUCCGACAACAAAGUAGGAUAAGUCGUAACAGGCAUAGGGGUA
This 391-nucleotide ribosomal RNA is filed under the name Unio pictorum (painter's mussel). RNAcentral describes it as "partial 12S ribosomal RNA". It matches the Rfam family "Bacterial small subunit ribosomal RNA", at positions 882 to 1510 of the family's 1533-position model. Lineage: Eukaryota; Metazoa; Mollusca; Bivalvia; Unionida; Unionidae. The record is from RNAcentral.